GUUUUAAAACGGUAAUGGAGGCGCGCAAAGGUUUCCUCGAGUCACGCUAAGAUUGGCCCUCGAACGCAAAGGCAAAAGGGAGCUUGACUGCAAGACCCACCCGUUGAGUAGGGGACGAAAGUCAGUCUUAGUGAUACGAUGGUGUUGGGUGGAAGGGCCGUCGCUCAAC
This 169-nucleotide non-coding RNA is filed under the name Morus notabilis. RNAcentral describes it as "Bacterial large subunit ribosomal RNA". It matches the Rfam family "Bacterial large subunit ribosomal RNA", at positions 2286 to 2453 of the family's 2925-position model. The record is from Rfam by way of RNAcentral. Lineage: Eukaryota; Viridiplantae; Streptophyta; Magnoliopsida; Rosales; Moraceae.